RNAcentral lists this ribosomal RNA (254 nucleotides) under uncultured bacterium. Its description in RNAcentral is "partial 16S ribosomal RNA". It matches the Rfam family "Bacterial small subunit ribosomal RNA", at positions 524 to 777 of the family's 1533-position model. The record is from RNAcentral.
UACGAAGGGGGCUAGCGUUGCUCGGAAUCACUGGGCGUAAAGGGUGCGUAGGCGGGUCUUUAAGUCAGGGGUGAAAUCCUGGAGCUCAACUCCAGAACUGCCUUUGAUACUGGAGAGCUUGAGUCCGGAAGAGGUGAGUGGAACUCCGAGUGUAGAGGUGAAAUUCGUAGAUAUUAGGAAGAACACCAGUGGCGAAGGCGGCUCACUGGCCCGGUACUGACGCUGAGGCGCGAAAGCGUGGGGAGCAAACAGGG